AAACGCUACUUUUCUUAUUUUAUCGUUUCACGCGCUCUCUUCUCCGCCGUAGGAAAUGCUAAGGUUUCUAUCGAUUCACUAAUCCAUCAAUCAAUCUGCACAAUAGCGAAUAUAGAGUUUGGAGCAAUUUAUUUAUCUUCUUCCUACUGAUCCAAUCUAAAAAUCAAUCGGUGGAGGUUCCACUAUAAUAAGGCUGAAGAAGCUAGACACGAGUAAAGGAUGAGGAGUGCUAGGCAGACAAGUGGAAGUUGAAAGAAGAAGAAAAGGCUCAACAAGCCUAAAAAGAAGAUACAGCUGCCUUAAAGUUUGAAUAACCAAACACUUUUCCACCCCUCCCAUUCUAACUGUCAUUUUGCCAACAUAAACAAACUUCACGGUGAAGGAUAGAUACAAUACAAGUAUUAUGGACAUCAACAGCAGUUUGCAGAGGGACGGUGUCUUAGUACAUCUUCAUCAUAAAGAAGGUAUGCAGUUUCAGAUGGGAGAGAUCGGGAGAGGUCAUUUUGGUUACACUUGCUCUGCUAGCCUAAGUUAAAGAAAGACGACAGUGCAUGCCCAACAGUACCAGAAGCAACAAGAACAAACAACUGCUAUUCUCAGAAGAUCCUGCUCACUUGGAACGCUCGAUCCGCAAAGACCAACGUUCCACAUCGAUCGACGCAGCAUCUUUCACGUCGACCGAUUCUCGCACCCACCCGUCGACCGAUACCCGACCUUCAUCGUUGACCGAUCUACAUCGUUCGCCAUCGAUCGACACUACAUCUCGUACAUCGAUCGAUCCUCAUUCGCGAAGCAUGGUUGCGAUUGUUAUUCUCUGACAGGACGAGAAUGGAAACCUGUAUGACCAGGAUGGUCAUCUACGUAAUGCAACAGGUCAGAAACUGGACACUCAGGGGAAUGUAAUCCCUGAUACUCAUGCUACAAGAGCUGCUCAACCUGUAGAAGAGGCUGCUCGACCAAGGGCACUGGCCGACUACAAUCGUCCAGAUAAGUACUACGCCAACAGAUCAUCUGUUCGACUUCCAGAGAUUCAGAAGCAGAAUUUCGAGCUGAAGCCUCAGUACUACACACUCGUGUCACAGAUACCGUACUCUGGGUUACCGCACGAGCAUCCUAUGGACCAUCUUGAGAGGUUCGAGGAUCUUAUCGCUGCUAUUCGUAUGGAUGGAGUCCCUGAGGACUACCUAUUGUGCAAGCUCUUCAAGUAUUCUCUGACUGGAGAAGCGAUGCACUGGCUUAAGCAGCUAUCCACAGGAUCUCUAACAUCCUGGGCCGAAAUCAAGAAUGCUUUCUUGCGAAACUUAUUCGAUGAGGCACGCGCAGGAGACUUGAGAAGCAAAAUCGCUACAUUCGCGCAAGAGACAUGAGAGUCUUUCAAAGACGCGUGGAUCAGAUUCAAGUUCUUCCAGCGAGACUGUCCACACCACGGAUUCAACGAAGUGCAACUGCUGAGCACGUUCUUCGGAGGUAUCGCCUUGAGGUAUCAGAUGGCUCUUGAUACAGCUAGCGGGGUAAACGGCAACACCAGGAAUCCGGUGGAAGCUGUGAGACUGAUAGAAAAUCUAGCAAACAACAGCAACAUCAAGAACACUGACUUUGAAAGAAAGAAGUCUGUUGCAUCCCUAGGGAAGGAGCAGAUGGACGAAGUUAGAGCAAAGUUAGAUGUGG
This is a long non-coding RNA of Brassica napus (rape), 1668 nucleotides long. RefSeq lists it as uncharacterized. Lineage: Eukaryota; Viridiplantae; Streptophyta; Magnoliopsida; Brassicales; Brassicaceae. The transcript is spliced from 5 exons. The record is from RefSeq and is a predicted model, not a curated record.